Molecule: non-coding RNA, 190 nt
Filed under: Nelumbo nucifera (sacred lotus)
Lineage: Eukaryota; Viridiplantae; Streptophyta; Magnoliopsida; Proteales; Nelumbonaceae
Description: Bacterial small subunit ribosomal RNA
Rfam family: Bacterial small subunit ribosomal RNA
Source: Rfam by way of RNAcentral
UAAUGGAGAAUAUAUUCUACAAAAAUGUAUUUGAUGUAUUCUUGUUGAUGGGGAAGUAGUUAGGCUGUGGCCACAUAUGUGCUACAAUGGCAAUUACAAUGGGAAGCAAGGAUACGAAGCAGAGCGAAUCUGGUAAGAUUGCUUCAGUUCAUAUUGUUCUCUGCAAAUCAGGAACAUGAAGUUGGAACUA